This 488-nucleotide ribosomal RNA is filed under the name uncultured Sphingobacteriales bacterium. RNAcentral describes it as "bacterial SSU rRNA". It matches the Rfam family "Bacterial small subunit ribosomal RNA", at positions 894 to 1382 of the family's 1533-position model. Lineage: Bacteria; Pseudomonadati; Bacteroidota; Sphingobacteriia; Sphingobacteriales. The record is from RNAcentral.
CAGAAACUUAAAGGAAGUUGACGGGGCCCGGCACAAGCGGAGGAGCAUGUGGUUUAAUUCGAUGAUACGCGAGGAACCUUACCUGGGCUCGAACGUAAGAUGACUGUAGGUGAAAGCUUACAUCUCUUCGGAGCAUUUUACGAGGUGCUGCAUGGUUGUCGUCAGCUCGUGCCGUGAGGUGUCGGGUUAAGUCCCAUAACGAGCGCAACCCUACCUUUAGUUGCCAUCAGGUAAUGCUGGGGACUCUAAAGGAACUGCCUACGCAAGUAGUGAGGAAGGCGGGGAUGACGUCAAAUCAGCACGGCCCUUACGUCCAGGGCUACACACGUGCUACAAUGGCCGAUACAGAGGGCAGCUACCUGGUGACAGGAUGCAAAUCUCCAAAGUCGGUCUCAGUUCGGAUCGGAGUCUGCAACCCGACUCCGUGAAGUUGGAUUCGCUAGUAAUCGCGCAUCAGCCAUGGCGCGGUGAAUACGUUCCCGGGCCUU